GGUUAAGCGACUAAGCGUACACGGUGGAUGCCCUGGCAGUCAGAGGCGAUGAAGGACGUGCUAAUCUGCGAAAAGCGUCGGUAAGGUGAUAUGAACCGUUAUAGCCGGCGAUGUCCGAAUGGGGAAACCCAGUGUGAUUCGUCACACUAUCGUUAACUGAAUACAUAGGUUAACGAGGCGAACCGGGGGAACUGAAACAUCUAAGUACCCCGAGGAAAAGAAAUCAACCGAGAUUCCCCCAGUAGCGGCGAGCGAACGGGGAGCAGCCCAGAGUUUGAAUCAGCUUGUGUGUUAGUGGAACGGUCUGGAAAGUCCGACGGUACAGGGUGAUAGUCCCGUACACCAAAAUGCACAGGCUGUGAACUCGAAGAGUAGGGCGGGACACGUGGUAUCCUGUCUGAAUAUGGGGGGACCAUCCUCCAAGGCUAAAUACUCCUGACUGACCGAUAGUGAACCAGUACCGUGAGGGAAAGGCGAAAAGAACCCCGGCGAGGGGAGUGAAAAAGAACCUGAAACCGUGUACGUACAAGCAGUGGGAGCACCUUCGGGUGUGACUGCGUACCUUUUGUAUAAUGGGUCAGCGACUUAUAUUCUGUAGCAAGGUUAACCGUAUAGGGGAGCCGCAGGGAAACCGAGUCUUAACUGGGCGUUAAGUUGCAGGGUAUAGACCCGAAACCCGGUGAUCUAGCCAUGGGCAGGUUGAAGGUUGGGUAACACUAACUGGAGGACCGAACCGACUAAUGUUGAAAAAUUAGCGGAUGACUUGUGGCUGGGGGUGAAAGGCCAAUCAAACCGGGAGAUAGCUGGUUCUCCCCGAAAGCUAUUUAGGUAGCGCCUCGUGAAUUCAUCUUCGGGGGUAGAGCACUGUUUCGGCUAGGGGGUCAUCCCGACUUACCAACCCGAUGCAAACUACGAAUACCGAAGAAUGUUAUCACGGGAGACACACGGCGGGUGCUAACGUCCGUCGUGAAGAGGGAAACAACCCAGACCGCCAGCUAAGGUCCCAAAGUCAUGGUUAAGUGGGAAACGAUGUGGGAAGGCACAGACAGCCAGGAUGUUGGCUUAGAAGCAGCCAUCAUUUAAAGAAAGCGUAAUAGCUCACUGGUCGAGUCGGCCUGCGCGGAAGAUGUAACGGGGCUAAACCAUGCACCGAAGCUGCGGCAGCGACACUAUGUGUUGUUGGGUAGGGGAGCGUUCUGUAAGCCUGCGAAGGUGACCUGUGAGGGUUGCUGGAGGUAUCAGAAGUGCGAAUGCUGACAUAAGUAACGAUAAAGCGGGUGAAAAGCCCGCUCGCCGGAAGACCAAGGGUUCCUGUCCAACGUUAAUCGGGGCAGGGUGAGUCGACCCCUAAGGCGAGGCCGAAAGGCGUAGUCGAUGGGAAACAGGUUAAUAUUCCUGUACUUGGUGUUACUGCGAAGGGGGGACGGAGAAGGCUAUGUUAGCCGGGCGACGGUUGUCCCGGUUUAAGCAUGUAGGCUGGUUAUCCAGGCAAAUCCGGAUAAUCAAGGCUGAGGUGUGAUGACGAGGCACUACGGUGCUGAAGUAACAAAUGCCCUGCUUCCAGGAAAAGCCUCUAAGCAUCAGGUAACAUCAAAUCGUACCCCAAACCGACACAGGUGGUCAGGUAGAGAAUACCAAGGCGCUUGAGAGAACUCGGGUGAAGGAACUAGGCAAAAUGGUGCCGUAACUUCGGGAGAAGGCACGCUGGUGUGUAGGUGAAGUCCCUGCGGAUGGAGCUGAGACCAGUCGAAGAUACCAGCUGGCUGCAACUGUUUAUUAAAAACACAGCACUGUGCAAACACGAAAGUGGACGUAUACGGUGUGACGCCUGCCCGGUGCCGGAAGGUUAAUUGAUGGGGUUAUCCGUAAGGAGAAGCUCUUGAUCGAAGCCCCGGUAAACGGCGGCCGUAACUAUAACGGUCCUAAGGUAGCGAAAUUCCUUGUCGGGUAAGUUCCGACCUGCACGAAUGGCGUAAUGAUGGCCAGGCUGUCUCCACCCGAGACUCAGUGAAAUUGAACUCGCUGUGAAGAUGCAGUGUACCCGCGGCAAGACGGAAAGACCCCGUGAACCUUUACUAUAGCUUGACACUGAACAUUGAGCCUUGAUGUGUAGGAUAGGUGGGAGGCUUUGAAGCGUGGACGCCAGUCUGCGUGGAGCCAACCUUGAAAUACCACCCUUUAAUGUUUGAUGUUCUAACGUUGGCCCCUUACCGGGGUUGCGGACAGUGUCUGGUGGGUAGUUUGACUGGGGCGGUCUCCUCCCAAAGCGUAACGGAGGAGCACGAAGGUUAGCUAAUCCUGGUCGGACAUCAGGAGGUUAGUGCAAUGGCAUAAGCUAGCUUGACUGCGAGCGUGACGGCGCGAGCAGGUGCGAAAGCAGGUCAUAGUGAUCCGGUGGUUCUGAAUGGAAGGGCCAUCGCUCAACGGAUAAAAGGUACUCCGGGGAUAACAGGCUGAUACCGCCCAAGAGUUCAUAUCGACGGCGGUGUUUGGCACCUCGAUGUCGGCUCAUCACAUCCUGGGGCUGAAGUAGGUCCCAAGGGUAUGGCUGUUCGCCAUUUAAAGUGGUACGCGAGCUGGGUUUAGAACGUCGUGAGACAGUUCGGUCCCUAUCUGCCGUGGGCGCUGGAGAAUUGAGGGGGGCUGCUCCUAGUACGAGAGGACCGGAGUGGACGCAUCACUGGUGUUCGGGUUGUCAUGCCAAUGGCACUGCCCGGUAGCUAAAUGCGGAAGAGAUAAGUGCUGAAAGCAUCUAAGCACGAAACUUGCCCCGAGAUGAGUUCUCCCUGAGACUUUAAGUCUCCUGAAGGAACGUUGAAGACGACGACGUUGAUAGGCCGGGUGUGUAAGCGCAGCGAUGCGUUGAGCUAACCGGUACUAAUGAACCGUGAGGCUUAACCUU
This 2902-nucleotide ribosomal RNA is filed under the name Klebsiella pneumoniae. Its description in RNAcentral is "23S ribosomal RNA". It matches the Rfam family "Bacterial large subunit ribosomal RNA". The record is from RNAcentral. Lineage: Bacteria; Pseudomonadati; Pseudomonadota; Gammaproteobacteria; Enterobacterales; Enterobacteriaceae.